AUGCAGGGCGGCAACCACAUGCUCCUCGAGGAGCCCGUCCGCCUCGCCUCCGUCCUCGCCCCCGCCAAGCCCAAAGUUUUCCCAUCCCUCACUAAGAUUGUUGGGACGCUUGGGCCCAACUCGCACUCAGUCGAAGUGAUUGAAGAAUGCCUCACUGCUGGGAUGUCAGUUGCGCGGUUUGAUUUCUCUUGGAAGGAUGCUACUUAUCAUCAGGAGACCCUUGACAAUCUGAGGAAAGCCGCACAGAAUGUGAAGAAGUUAUGUCCUAUAAUGCUGGAUACAGUGGGUCCAGAAAUUCAGGUUCACAAUUCAACUGGUGGAGCAAUCGAGUUGAUAGGGGGGAAUCAUGUCACAAUAACACCAGAUCUUUCUAAAGCUCCUUCGGCUGAUAUCCUACCAAUUAAAUUUGGCGAUCUUGCAAAAGUUGUGAAGAAGGGUGAUACUCUUUUCAUUGGUCAAUAUCUUUUCACAGGAAGUGAAACAACAUCUCUAUGGCUUGAAGUUACGGAGACUUCUGGUGCAGAAGUGAUUUGUUACGUGAAGAACACAGCUACACUGUCGGGGCCCAUUUUCACUCUACAUGUUUCACAAGUACAUAUCAGUAUGCCCACUUUGAGUGAAUAUGAUAAACAGGUCAUAUCAACAUGGGGGCUGCAAAACAGUGUUGACAUUAUAUCGCUUUCCCAUACCCGCUCUUCUGAGGAUGUCAGGGAGCUUAGAGCCUUUUUAAAAUCUCAUGAUCUUCAAGACACACAGAUAUAUGCGAAGGUUGAAAAUGCUGAGGGUUUGGAACAUUUUGAUGAAAUUCUCCAAGAGGCGGAUGGUAUCAUCAUAUCGCGAGGAGACCUGGGAAUUGACCUCCCACCAGAGAGAGUAAAUUUUGGUCUUCCUCAAAAUACCCAAUUUUUGCACCUUGUGUUCAUGUCCCAAAAGACUGGUAUUCAUAAAUGCAACAUGGCCGGCAAAUCUGUGAUCAUUACUAGAGUUGUGGACAGCAUGAUUGACAAUCUGCGCCCUACUCGCGCAGAAGCUACUGAUGUUGCAAAUGCUGUCCUAGAUGGAACUGAUGGCAUUUUGCUCGGUGCGGAGACACUUCGAGGGCAGUAUCCUGUUGACGCUGUGCGCACUGUGGGCAGAAUAUGUGCAGAAGCUGAGACCGUGUAUAACCAGUCACUUCACUUCAAGAAAGUAGUGAGGCAUGUAGGUGAACCAAUGGCCCAUGAAGAAUCUGUGGCAUCAUCAGCGGUUCGUUCUGCAAUGAAAGUAAAAGCUGCUGCAAUUGUUGUGUUCACCUUCUCGGGGAGAGCUGCUAGGUUAAUUGCUAAAUACAGGGCCCCAAUGCCAGUUUUAGCAGUUGUGUUCCCACGCGAGGGCUCUGAUCCAUCGAAGUGGCGUUCUUAUGGCACGACACAGGCGAGGCAAUGUUUUUCUGUGAGAGGUGUCUACCCUUUGAUGGGGAGUACUGACGAGGCUGAAACUGGUGGGCUCACCAAGGAAGAAUACGGGAUAAAACUUGCACUGAACUAUGGCCGGUCAGUCGGCAUAAUAAAGCCAUACGACAGGGUGAUUAUUUUUGAAAAGAUCGGUGAUUCUUCUGUUGUCAAGAUCAUCGAGUGCGACGAUUCUGAAAGAUGA
RNAcentral lists this ribosomal RNA (1635 nucleotides) under Triticum aestivum (bread wheat). Its description in RNAcentral is "partial small subunit ribosomal RNA". Lineage: Eukaryota; Viridiplantae; Streptophyta; Magnoliopsida; Poales; Poaceae. The record is from RNAcentral.